This 303-nucleotide ribosomal RNA is filed under the name uncultured bacterium. RNAcentral describes it as "partial 16S ribosomal RNA". It matches the Rfam family "Bacterial small subunit ribosomal RNA", at positions 507 to 807 of the family's 1533-position model. The record is from RNAcentral.
AGCAGUAGCCGCGGUAAAACGUAGGGUGCAAGCGUUAAUCGGAAUUACUGGGCGUAAAGCGUGCGCAGGCGGUUAUAUAAGACAGAUGUGAAAUCCCCGGGCUCAACCUGGGAACUGCAUUUGUGACUGUAUAGCUAGAGUACGGCAGAGGGGGAUGGAAUUCCGCGUGUAGCAGUGAAAUGCGUAGAUAUGCGGAGGAACACCGAUGGCGAAGGCAAUCCCCUGGGCCUGUACUGACGCUCAUGCACGAAAGCGUGGGGAGCAAACAGGAUUAGAUACCCCAGUAGUCCCUGUCUCUUAUAC